This 468-nucleotide ribosomal RNA is filed under the name uncultured bacterium. RNAcentral's name for it is "partial 16S ribosomal RNA". It matches the Rfam family "Bacterial small subunit ribosomal RNA", at positions 28 to 507 of the family's 1533-position model. The record is from RNAcentral.
GACGAACGCUGGCGGCGUGCUUAACACAUGCAAGUCGAACGGAAAGGCCCUGCUUUUGUGGGGUGCUCGAGUGGCGAACGGGUGAGUAACACGUGAGUAACCUGCCCUUGACUUUGGUAUAACUUCAGGAAACUGGGGCUAAUACCGGAUAGGAGCUCCUGCUGCAUGGUGGGGGUUGGAAAGUUUCGGCGGUUGGGGAUGGACUCGCGGCUUAUCAGCUUGUUGGUGGGGUAGUGGCUUACCAAGGCUUUGACGGGUAGCCGGCCUGAGAGGGUGACCGGCCACAUUGGGACUGAGAUACGGCCCAGACUCCUACGGGAGGCAGCAGUGGGGAAUAUGGCACAAUGGGCGGAAGCCUGAUGCAGCAACGCCGCGUGCGGGAUGACGGCCUUCGGGUUGUAAACCGCUUUCGCCUGUGACGAAGCGUGAGUGACGGUAAUGGGUAAAGAAGCACCGGCUAACUACGUG